AUUUCUCUCUACAAACAGUGUAUAUACAGUGUUAUACAUACCCACAUAUAUAUACCUCGUUGCUGGAGUUGGCCUCAGCCAACCAAAUCUGGGGUCCGGGUCCGGGCUGCUAGAUUUGCUCAGUCGCGUCGCGUGCAACGCGUGCCUCCAGAGCGCUCGCGUCCGUGACCAGACGAGGGCCCGCGGCUUUGGAGCCUUGCACGCGGAGGACGAGGUGUUGCAGUUCCAGUGGGAUUUUACUUUCGCCCGCGCGCGGGGGCGAAGUGGUACCGUGGGGCCCGAUGGCAGCUCCACAGGAAAAAGGGCAAAGGCCAAGGUGGGGUCAGCUAUCGGUAGCUUCCCAAGGAAGGAGCUACUGCGCUGUGGUAAAAUAGGACGUCUUACCCUGGUAAGGGUGCCCUUGCUUCCAUCGUCCGAGAGGCAUCACCCUCCAUGGAGUCGUUGUGGCCAGGCCCGCUGGCUCCUCUUCCCCUCCCUUGGGAAUCCCAGGAGAGUCAUGACACCUUUUCGCUCGGUGCAAGAGGCCAGUGAGACUGAGGCUAGAGUGAUUCGAGCUCAGCUCGCUGAAUCCGAUUGUCGCAUGGCUGAUAGGUGGGUUAGGUUGCAGAGUACGUCAAGGCCUGUGAUUCGUCCUUGA
RNAcentral lists this unclassified non-coding RNA (637 nucleotides) under Zea mays. RNAcentral describes it as "misc RNA Zm00001eb018620". Lineage: Eukaryota; Viridiplantae; Streptophyta; Magnoliopsida; Poales; Poaceae. The record is from RNAcentral.